This 2751-nucleotide ribosomal RNA is filed under the name Reclinomonas americana. Its description in RNAcentral is "LSU rRNA". It matches the Rfam family "Bacterial large subunit ribosomal RNA". Lineage: Eukaryota; Jakobea; Jakobida; Histionidae. The record is from RNAcentral.
UAAAGACAAAAGAAGGUAUUCAAUGGAUGCCUUGGUAUUCGGUUAUGGACGUAAUACGUUGCGAUAAGUCAUGGGGAGAAACGUAGAAAAACUGUGAUCCAUGAAUUGCCAAAGAGAAAACUCACUCGUAAUGAGUAGAGUCAUUUAUAUAUGAUUCUAUAUACUUGGUGAACUGAAACAUCUAAGUAGCCAAAGGAAAAGAAAUCAAAAGAGAUUCCGUUAGUAGUGGCGAGCGAAUACGGAUUAGGCCUUUCUAUCUAAAAAGUAGAAACUAUUUAAUGAUAAUAAUAUUAGAAAAGAUUGGAAAAUCUUGCCAUAGAAGGUGAUAGCCCUGUAUAAUAAAGAAUAAAUUGAAUAGAGGAGUAAGACGGAACACGUGAAAUUUUGUCUGAAUAUAGCAGGACCACCUGCUAAGCCUAAAUAUAACCGAAUAACCGAUAGUGAACAAGUACCGUGAGGGAAAGGUGAAAAGAACCCUGAGAAGGGAGUGAAAAGAACCUGAAAUUGAAUACUUACAAGCAGUCGAAGUGAACUUUACUUUAUGUUAAGUUUAUGACGGCGUACCUUUUGCAUAAUGGGUCAGCGAGUUCAUAUACGCAGCAAGCUUAAUCCGAUAGGAAUAGGCGUAGUGAAAACGAGUUUGAAAAAUAGCGUUAAGUUGCGUGUGUGAGACCCGAAACUGAGUGAUCUAUCCAUGAGCAGGUUGAAAGUGCGGUGAUACGCACUGGAGGACCGAACCCACGUAUGUGGAAAAAUACGGGGAUGACUUGUGGAUAGGGGUGAAAGGCUAAUCAAACUCAGAGAUAGCUGGUUUUCUGCGAAAUCUAUUUAGGUAGAGCGUUGUGUAAACAUCAUUUGGGGUAGAGCACUCAAUGAGUACUUGGGGGGUGUCAAACUACUUCAGGCUCAAGGAAACUCCGAAUACGAAUGAUGAAUAACAGCAGACAGACUAUGGGCGAUAAGGUCCGUGGUCGAGAGGGAAACAGCCCAGAUCGUAAGCUAAGGUCCCAAAGUGAUUACUAAGUGGUAAAGGAUGUUAAAAGGCCAAGACAACCAGGAGGUGGGCUUGGAAGCAGCCAUCCUUUAAAGAAAGCGUAACAGCUCACUGGUCUAUAUAAGCCUUUUUGCGCCGAAAAUGUAACGGGGCUUAAGUAAUCCACCGAAGCUGCGGAAGAUAUUAAAAUAUCUUGGUAGCAGAACGUUCUGUAAGUCGUUGAAGAUAAAAUGUCAGUUUUAUUGGAGAUAUCAGAAGUGAGAAUGCUGACAUGAGUAGCGACAAACAAUGUGGAAAUCAUUGUCACCGUAAGUUCAAGGGUUUCUGCGCAAGGUUCGUCCACGCAGAGUGAAUCGGCCCCUAAUAAAAAAACGAAAGUUGUAUUAGAUGGGAAUUUGUCAUUGAUGACGGAUUGUGUUUUGUAGGCAUAUAUUUAUUGGAUUAUAUGUGCUUAUAGCAUGGUUCCAGGAAAGAACAUUGACUAAUUAAAAACCGUACCCGAAACCGACACAGGUGAACGAGUAGAGUAUACUAAGGUGAGUGAGAGAACAAUCUUGAAGGAACUCGGCAAAAUAACUCCGUAAUUUAGGAAGAAGGAGUACUUAUAUAGUUAUUAAUUGGUUAUAUAAGUGGCACUUAAUAGGGGGGAGCGACUGUUUAAUAAAAACACAAGACUCUGCUAAACCGUAAGGUGAUGUAUAGGGUCUGACACCUGCCCGGUGCUGGAAGGUUAACGUGAUUUGUGUAUAGCAAAGAUCUUAAGCCCCAGUAAACGGCAGCCGUAACCAUAACGGUUCUAAGGUAGCGAAAUUCCUUUUCGGGUAAGUUCCGAAGUGCAUGAAUGGUGUAACGACUUCCCUACUGUCUCCAAGAUUGACUCAGCGAAAUUGAACUCUCCGUGAAGAUGCGGAGUUCCAACGGUUAGACGGAAAGACCCCGUGCACCUUUACUACAUCUUUACAAUGCUAAGAAAGAUAUAAUGUGUAGAAUAGGUGGGAGCUUAUGAUACCUCGACGCUAGUCGAUUGUGGAGGCAUCUGUGAAAUACCACUCUUUAUCUCUUUUAUAGCUAACUAAUAUUUUUAUAUUAAAAUAUAGGACAUUGUAUGGUUGGUAGUUUGACUGGGGCGGUCGCCUCCUAAAGAGUAACGGAGGCGCGCAAAGGUGGGCUCAGGUUGGUUGGAAACCAACUGUAGAGUGUAAUGGCAUAAGCCCGCUUGACUGUGACACCUACAAGUGAAACAGAGACGUAAGUCGGCCAUAGUGAUCCGGUGGUGCUGUGUGGAAAGGCCAUCGCUCAACGGAUAAAAGGUACGCCGGGGAUAACAGGCUAAUGACUCCCAAGAGCUCUUAUCGACGGAGUCGUUUGGCACCUCGAUGUCGGCUCAUCACAUCCUGGAGCUGCAGAAGGUUCCAAGGGUUUGGCUGUUCGCCAAUUAAAGUGGUACGUGAGCUGGGUUUAGAACGUCGUGAGACAGUUCGGUCCCUAUCUGCCGUUGGUGUUGGAGAAUUGAGAGGUUCCGACCCUAGUACGAGAGGAUCGGGUAGGAUAUACCUAUGGUGUAUCGAUUGUUAAGCCAAUAGCAUCGUCGAGUAGCUAAGUAUAGACAGAAUAACCGCUGAAAGCAUAUAAGCGGGAAUUCUACCUCAAAACAAGUUCUCCUUUGAGAGCCGUGAAAGACUAUCACGUUGAUAGGUCAAAUGUGUAAACAUGGUAACAUGCAGCUAAUUGAUACUAAUAUCUCGAAUGUCUUUAAU